CAAAGGUGUAAAAAACAGAAAUUUAGGCCAAUUAGUCAAAAAAAUGCUAAGCAAAAAAUCUAUGAAAAUCCUGUUUUUCAUUCAGGAAAUUGACCGAAAAUCGUUGUCCGUUUUUCGAUCUUUUGCAGUAAGUGCUGUAAUUUUGUUUAAGUUUAAAAAAUAAUCAUAUUUGUUAUAAAAUUAUAAUUUAUUGGCAUAUUUCUUCCAUUUCAGCCAUCCUUUGAAGUGUUUACACCUCAAAAUCAUAAAACGGCGAAAUUGUGUCCCCGGCGAAUAUGGGCCCCCCACUCUAUACCCAUCGAGUUUACGUCAAAUGUUCGAGAAAAAAAACCUUGUGAAUUCUUUUGUUCUAAAAGAAAAAAAAUCCCUUUUAAGAACGUCAAUACGCAGUUUU
This 394-nucleotide long non-coding RNA is filed under the name Mytilus galloprovincialis (Mediterranean mussel). Lineage: Eukaryota; Metazoa; Mollusca; Bivalvia; Mytilida; Mytilidae. The record is from RNAcentral.